This 530-nucleotide ribosomal RNA is filed under the name Phoma sp. URM 7221. RNAcentral describes it as "eukaryotic LSU rRNA". The stretch from base 176 to 329 matches the Rfam family "5.8S ribosomal RNA". Lineage: Eukaryota; Fungi; Ascomycota; Dothideomycetes; Pleosporales; Didymellaceae. The record is from RNAcentral.
UCCUUCCGUAGGUGAACCUGCGGAAGGAUCAUUACCUAGAGUUGUAGGCUUUGCCUGCUAUCUCUUACCCAUGUCUUUUGAGUACCUUACGUUUCCUCGGUGGGUUCGCCCACCGAUUGGACAAAUUUAAACCCUUUGCAGUUGAAAUCAGCGUCUGAAAAAACUUAAUAGUUACAACUUUCAACAACGGAUCUCUUGGUUCUGGCAUCGAUGAAGAACGCAGCGAAAUGCGAUAAGUAGUGUGAAUUGCAGAAUUCAGUGAAUCAUCGAAUCUUUGAACGCACAUUGCGCCCCUUGGUAUUCCAUGGGGCAUGCCUGUUCGAGCGUCAUUUGUACCUUCAAGCUCUGCUUGGUGUUGGGUGUUUGUCUCCUGUAGACUCGCCUUAAAACAAUUGGCAGCCGGCGUAUUGAUUUCGGAGCGCAGUACAUCUCGCGCUUUGCACUCAUAACGACGACAUCCAAAAGUACAUUUUUACACUCUUGACCUCGGAUCAGGUAGGGAUACCCGCUGAACUUAAGCAUAUCAAUAA